Molecule: ribosomal RNA, 466 nt
Filed under: uncultured bacterium
Lineage: Bacteria
Description: bacterial SSU rRNA
Rfam family: Bacterial small subunit ribosomal RNA
Source: RNAcentral
GGACCCGCACAAGCGGUGGAUGAUGUGGAUUAAUUCGAUGCAACGCGAAAAACCUUACCUACCCUUGACAUGUCAGAAACUUGGUAGAGAUAUCUUGGUGCCCGAAAGGGAAUCUGAACACAGGUGCUGCAUGGCUGUCGUCAGCUCGUGUCGUGAGAUGUUGGGUUAAGUCCCGCAACGAGCGCAACCCUUGUCGUUAAUUGCCAUCAUUUAGUUGGGCACUUUAACGAGACUGCCGGUGACAAACCGGAGGAAGGUGGGGAUGACGUCAAGUCCUCAUGGCCCUUAUGGGUAGGGCUUCACACGUCAUACAAUGGUCGGUACAGAGGGUUGCCAAGCCGCGAGGUGGAGCCAAUCCCAGAAAGCCGAUCGUAGUCCGGAUCGCAGUCUGCAACUCGACUGCGUGAAGUCGGAAUCGCUAGUAAUCGCGGAUCAGCAUGUCGCGGUGAAUACGUUCCCGGGUCUU